GAAAGAAAAAUCAGAAACCGGGGGUCAAAAUGCAAUUUAGAAAAAUUGCGCCACGUCAAAUGUGCGGUCAGCAGCUCCGACCAACCAGGACGAGCCAAGUGGAAAGGCGCUGACGCGGGAGGCCAUGCGGGGGGCCACGAGGGCGAUCCACGUGCGCGUGAUCGAACGGCUGAAAUCCGUUCCUACACGCACGGACGGCCUAGAUUGGAAGCGCGU
Molecule: long non-coding RNA, 216 nt
Filed under: Carica papaya (papaya)
Lineage: Eukaryota; Viridiplantae; Streptophyta; Magnoliopsida; Brassicales; Caricaceae
Description: long non-coding RNA (CPAP_LNC007439)
Source: RNAcentral